UGGAAUGCAGCGUAUCCUUUCUCUUCUGACCAGGCUGAAUUAUGGAUUAAUGGGAUGCGUGUGCCUUCCGGACACUGCACAACUCCUCAUGCUUGAACUCACAUCCUGUUUCAUACCAAAGUUCUUGCAGUACUUGCCUUGUAUCACAGAAACCUCUGAAAACCCAGCUUCCAAAAGGCUUCUGAGACCCUCUUUAUCCAAAACGACAGUGAUCUCAUCUUGGGUUUCUCAGAGUGCAUCUCCAUUUCAGCUGACAGACAGCCACAAAAGAAGCUCCAUCUCCAUAGCAAU
Long non-coding RNA from Myotis brandtii (Brandt's bat), 291 nucleotides. RefSeq lists it as uncharacterized. Lineage: Eukaryota; Metazoa; Chordata; Mammalia; Chiroptera; Vespertilionidae. The transcript has 3 exons. The record is from RefSeq and is a predicted model, not a curated record.